Long non-coding RNA from Daphnia pulicaria, 653 nucleotides. RefSeq lists it as uncharacterized. The transcript is spliced from 3 exons. NCBI's taxonomy places the organism in Eukaryota, Metazoa, Arthropoda, Branchiopoda, Diplostraca, Daphniidae. The record is from RefSeq and is a predicted model, not a curated record.
UUAUCGCCCAAUUAAUCACUAAAAAUAAUUUGUAGUAUAUGUUUAGUUCAAUUUCAGACUUGAGUAAUUGACUAAUUGACUACUCUUUUAAUCCCUUGCUGCGCGAGCGAGUUUUUCUCCAGGACCCGACCUUCUUUAAACAUUUAUUACGGUAUCCUGCUGGUUCCGUUUUAUAUGGAAGGGUUUAUACUCAAAGCAACCUAUGCCAUUUAACUGUUGUGACUUGUGAUCCUCCAGACAUUCUUGCUCAAUUUCAACUGUCAUGUCAGUUCUCAAUACUUGGGAUUCGAAAAGGAUGACCCUUUGAAAUGUGAUGUUGCGUCUGGAGUUCUAACAAGGAUUUUUUCAGUGUUUUCAUCUCUUCUAAAAGGAAUAAUACAGCACAAUUAAUUCCAAUCAUGGCAUGCCGGCAUGCAGUCUACGAGACCAAUUAAAAGCUUCUGUUUAAAAAGAUACUUGUUAAAGAUUAACUUCAUUAUGUUGAGUUUUGUUAAACAUAGCCUUGGUAAGUGCUGGAAUAUUUUAAAAAAAGCCAACUGUCCUUCAAACGGUUCGAAAUAAAAGAUUUAUUCAUUCACCGAAGAAACGAGUCAAAUGACUCAAAUGUCAAUUGGUAUAAAACCCAUUCCAAUCCCCAGCAACGUCAACCUGCA